GAAAUGCGAUAAGUAAUGUGAAUUGCAGAAUUCCGUGAAUCAUCGAAUCUUUGAACACACAUUGCGCCCCCUGGCAUUCCGGGGGGCAUGCCUGUCCGAGCGUCAUUUCUGCCCUCAAGCACGGCUUGUGUGUUGGGUGUGGUCCCCCCGGGGACCUGCCCGAAAGGCAGCGGCGACGUCCGUCUGGUCCUCGAGCGUAUGGGGCUCUGUCACUCGCUCGGGAAGGACCUGCGGGGGUUGGUCACCACCAUAUUUCACCACGGUUGACCUCGGAUCAGGUAGGAGUUACCCACUGAACUUAAGC
RNAcentral lists this unclassified non-coding RNA (304 nucleotides) under plant metagenome. RNAcentral's name for it is "partial contains 5.8S ribosomal RNA, internal transcribed spacer 2, and large subunit ribosomal RNA". The stretch from base 1 to 105 matches the Rfam family "5.8S ribosomal RNA", at positions 50 to 154 of the family's 154-position model. The record is from RNAcentral.